RNAcentral lists this long non-coding RNA (360 nucleotides) under Lathyrus oleraceus (garden pea). RNAcentral's name for it is "Pisum sativum (pea) long non-coding RNA (PSAT_LNC021403)". Lineage: Eukaryota; Viridiplantae; Streptophyta; Magnoliopsida; Fabales; Fabaceae. The record is from RNAcentral.
UCCAUCAAACACUAAAAGCACUCAAAUCAAUAUAUUUUUCUAAAUUAUGAUCUAGCAUCAAAAAUUUCAAAGAGAAAAAUAUGAUUCAAUUUCUGUGUACGUUGGCUUUGUCUUCUCUUCCUCUACUUUUCUAUAUUCCACCAAUCAGAAACUUAAAUAGUUUUGUAGAAACAAUGGAAGUAAUUAAGAGAGAAUCAAGAUUACAUCCGUACAUGUUGAAUCCACAAUUAAGGGUAGGUUGGUCUGGGAUUAUGGAUCGUAUAGUUUCUUCAUUUAUUUAAUUUCCUGACUUUUGGACAAUGCUAAAUGUUAUUGGGGAGUUUGAAUAAGAAAACUUUUAUUUGAUGUCUUUUAGUUUUA